GCGGCCUAUCAGCUUGUUGGGGAGGUAACGGCUCACCAAGGCUUCGACGGGUAGCUGGUCUGAGAGGAUGAUCAGCCACACUGGGACUGAGACACGGCCCAGACUCCUACGGGAGGCAGCAGUGGGGAAUCUUGCGCAAUGGGCGAAAGCCUGACGCAGCCACGCCGCGUGCGGGAUGAAGGCCCUAGGGUUGUGAACCGCUUUUAACAGGAACGAAAAUGACGGUACCUGUAGAAUAAGGUGCGGCCAACUACGUGCCAGCAGCCGCGGUGACACGUAGGCACCAGGCGUUGUCCGGAUUUAUUGGGCGUAAAGAGCUCGUAGGCGGUUCAGUAAGUCGGGUGUGAAAACUCUGGGCUUAACCCAGAGACGCCACUCGAUACUAUUGUGACUAGAGUUCGGUAGGGGAGACUGGAAUUCCU
RNAcentral lists this ribosomal RNA (422 nucleotides) under uncultured Actinomycetes bacterium. RNAcentral's name for it is "bacterial SSU rRNA". It matches the Rfam family "Bacterial small subunit ribosomal RNA", at positions 233 to 671 of the family's 1533-position model. The record is from RNAcentral. Lineage: Bacteria; Bacillati; Actinomycetota; Actinomycetes.